Molecule: ribosomal RNA, 475 nt
Filed under: uncultured Eubacteriales bacterium
Lineage: Bacteria; Bacillati; Bacillota; Clostridia; Eubacteriales
Description: bacterial SSU rRNA
Rfam family: Bacterial small subunit ribosomal RNA
Source: RNAcentral
UCAGGAUAAAACGCUGGCGGCGCACAUAAGACAUGCAAGUCGAACGAACUUAACUCAUCUUUUAGAUUGAGAGCGGUUAGUGGCGGACUGGUGAGUAACACGUAAGCAACCUGCCUAUCAGAGGGGGAAUAACAGUGAGAAAUCAUUGCUAAUACCGCAUAAGCUAGUAGUAUCACAUGAUACAGCUAGAAAAGGAGUAAUCCGCUGAUAGAUGGGCUUGCGCCUGAUUAGCUAGUUGUGGGGUAACGGCCUACCAAGGCGACGAUCAGUAGCCGAACUGAGAGGUUGAACGGCCACAUUGGGACUGAGAUACGGCCCAGACUCCUACGGGAGGCAGCAGUCGGGAAUAUUGCGCAAUGGAGGAAACUCUGACGCAGUGACGCCGCGUAUAGGAAGAAGGUUUUCGGAUUGUAAACUAUUGUCGUGAGGGAAGAAGGUGACAGUACCUCAGGAGGAAGCUCCGGCUAACUAUGUG